Molecule: ribosomal RNA, 479 nt
Filed under: uncultured anaerobic ammonium-oxidizing bacterium
Lineage: Bacteria
Description: bacterial SSU rRNA
Rfam family: Bacterial small subunit ribosomal RNA
Source: RNAcentral
UUUCGCAAUGCCCGAAAGGGUGACGAAGCGACGCCGCGUGGGUGAGGAAGGCCUUCGGGUUGUAAAGCCCUGUCAGGAGUUAAGAAAUGUAAGUGCGCUAAUACCGCAUUUAUUUGACGAAGGCUCCAAAGGAAGUCACGGCUAACUCUGUGCCAGCAGCCGCGGUAAUACAGAGGUGGCAAGCGUUGUUCGGAAUUAUUGGGCGUAAAGAGCACGUAGGUGGGUUUGUAAGUCAGAUGUGAAAGCCUCCUGUUCAACGGGAGAAUUGCAUCUGAAACUACAGAUCUUGAGUGUAGGAGGGGAGAAUGGAACUCCUGGUGGAGCGGUGAAAUGCGUAGAUGUCAGAAGGAACGCCGGCGGCGAAAGCGAUUCUCUGGCCUAUUACUGACACUCAGUGUGCGAAAGCUAGGGUAGCAAACGGGAUUAGAUACCCCGGUAGUCCUAGCCGUAAACGAUGGGCACUAAGUAGAGGGGUUUUA